Molecule: ribosomal RNA, 460 nt
Filed under: uncultured bacterium
Lineage: Bacteria
Description: partial 16S ribosomal RNA
Rfam family: Bacterial small subunit ribosomal RNA
Source: RNAcentral
CCUACGGGAGGCAGCAGUGAGGAAUAUUGGUCAAUGGGCUUACGCCUGAACCAGCCAAGUCGCGUGAGGGAAGACUGCCCUAUGGGUUGUAAACCUCUUUUGUCAGGGAGCAACGCCGGCUACGUGUAGCCGGACUGAGAGUACCUGAAGAAAAAGCAUCGGCUAACUCCGUGCCAGCAGCCGCGGUAAUACGGAGGAUGCGAGCGUUAUCCGGAUUUAUUGGGUUUAAAGGGUGCGUAGGCGGAUCGUUAAGUCAGUGGUCAAAUUGAGGGGAUCAACCCCUUCCCGCCAUUGAAACUGGCGCUCUUGAGUGGAAGAGAAGUAUGCGGAAUGCGUGGUGUAGCGGUGAAAGGCAUAGAUAUCACGCAGAACCCCGAUUGCGAAGGCAGCAUACCGGCGCCCUACUGACGCUGAGGCACGAAAGUGCGGGUAUCGAACAGGAUUAGAUACCCGAGUAGUC